RNAcentral lists this ribosomal RNA (362 nucleotides) under uncultured bacterium. RNAcentral's name for it is "partial 16S ribosomal RNA". It matches the Rfam family "Bacterial small subunit ribosomal RNA", at positions 338 to 697 of the family's 1533-position model. The record is from RNAcentral.
CCUACGGGAGGCAGCAGUGAGGAAUAUUGGGCAAUGGACGGAAGUCUGAACCAGCCAUGCCGCGUGCAGGAAGACGGCUCUAUGAUUUGUAAACUGCUUUUUUACAAGGGUAAACCUGAACACUUGUAUUCAGCUGAAAGUACUGUACGAAUAAGGAUCGGCUAACUCCGUGCCAGCAGCCGCGGUAAUACGGAGGAUCCAAGCGUUAUCCGGAUUUAGUGGGUUUAAAGGGUGCGUAGGCGGAAUGGUAAGUUAGAGGUGAAAUGUCCGGGCUUAACUCGGGAACUGCGUCUAAUACUGUUGUUCUAGAGAGUAGGUGCGGUAGGCGGAAUGUAUGGUGUAGCGGUGAAAUGCUUAGAGAU